CGGCGUGCUUAACACAUGCAAGUCGAACGCGAAAGGGACUUCGGUCCUGAGUAAAGUGGCGCACGGGUGAGUAACGCGUAGAUAACCUGUCUUCAUGUCUGGAAUAAUACGCCGAAAGGGGUACUAAUACCGGAUAUUCUUGCUUUUCAUAAGUUAUGCAAGCAAAGGUGGCCUCUGCAUAUGCUACUGCAUGAAGAGGGGUCUGCGUACCAUUAGCUAGUAGGUGGGGUAAUGGCCUACCUAGGCGACGAUGGUUAGCGGGUCUGAGAGGAUGAUCCGCCACACUGGCACUGGAACACGGGCCAGACUCCUACGGGAGGCAGCAGUGAGGAAUAUUGCGCAAUGGGGGAAACCCUGACGCAGCGACGCCGCGUGAAGUGAGGAAGGCCUUCGGGUCGUAAAGCUCUGUCAAGAGGAAAGAAGUGUACAAUGGCUAAUACCUGUUGUAUUUGACGGUACCUCUAAAGGAAGCACCGGCUAACUCCGUGCCAGCCGCAGC
This 499-nucleotide ribosomal RNA is filed under the name uncultured bacterium. RNAcentral describes it as "bacterial SSU rRNA". It matches the Rfam family "Bacterial small subunit ribosomal RNA", at positions 40 to 518 of the family's 1533-position model. The record is from RNAcentral.